AAAACUUAGAAUUUAUUUCUUGUGGUUUAAUAAAACUUUAUAAAUGGUUCCUAUGGUUUGAUAAAAUCCUCGUAAACAGUCCCUACGGUAGGGAUUAUUUAUGAUGAUUUUAUCAAACCACAUAAACUAAAUUAUAACUUUCUCCAAACAGUAGGGACCAAAUUUGCAAUUUAAUAUUUACUAAAUAAUAUAAUUAUCUUUUGAACUUAGACUAAUUGUUU
This 221-nucleotide unclassified non-coding RNA is filed under the name Hevea brasiliensis (rubber tree). The record is from RNAcentral. Lineage: Eukaryota; Viridiplantae; Streptophyta; Magnoliopsida; Malpighiales; Euphorbiaceae.